This 368-nucleotide ribosomal RNA is filed under the name uncultured organism. RNAcentral describes it as "bacterial LSU rRNA". It matches the Rfam family "Bacterial large subunit ribosomal RNA", at positions 2099 to 2465 of the family's 2925-position model. The record is from RNAcentral.
CUUUACUGUAGCUCUGCAUUGGACUUUGAACCGGUUUGUGUAGGAUAGGUGGGAGACUGUGAAACCGGGACGCCAGUUUCGGUGGAGUCAACCUUGAAAUACCACCCUGAUUUGUUUGAGGUUCUAACCUUGGUCCGUGAAUCCGGAUCGGGGACCGUGCAUGGUAGGCAGUUUGACUGGGGCGGUCUCCUCCCAAAAGGUAACGGAGGAGUACGAAGGUACGCUUAGGGCGGUCGGACAUCGCCCAUAAAGUGCAAUGGCAAAAGCGUGCUUGACUGCGAGACCCACAAGUCGAGCAGGUACGAAAGUAGGUCAUAGUGAUCCGGUGGUUCUGUAUGGAAGGGCCAUCGCUCAACGGAUAAAAGGUA